GUACGGAAUCUUAGAGAGUAGAGGAGUGCUCGAAGAGAGCCGUAACACAGGUGCUGCAUGGCUGUCGUCAGCUCGUGUCGUGAGAUGUUGGGUUAAGUCCCGCAACGAGCGCAACCCUUGUCAUUAGUUGCUUACAUUCAGUUGGGCACUCUAAUGAGACUGCCGGUGACAAACCGGAGGAAGGUGGGGAUGACGUCAAGUCCUCAUGGCCCUUAUAGUGGGGCUACACACGUCAUACAAUGGAUGGUACAAAGGGUCGCAACCCGCAGGGGGAGCCAAUCCCAUAAAGCCAUUCGUAGUCCGGAUCGCGGUCUGCAACUCGACUGCGUGAAGUCGGAAUCGCUAGUAAUCGUGAAUCAGAAUGUCACGGUGAAUACGUUCCCGGGCCUU
Molecule: ribosomal RNA, 390 nt
Filed under: uncultured Rhodoferax sp.
Lineage: Bacteria; Pseudomonadati; Pseudomonadota; Betaproteobacteria; Burkholderiales; Comamonadaceae
Description: bacterial SSU rRNA
Rfam family: Bacterial small subunit ribosomal RNA
Source: RNAcentral